CCGUCGAUAGCUCAGUUGGUAGAGCGGUGGACUGUAGAAGGUGUUGAUGAAAUCCAUAGGUCGCUGGUUCAACUCCGGCUCGACGGA
Molecule: transfer RNA, 87 nt
Filed under: Daphnia magna
Lineage: Eukaryota; Metazoa; Arthropoda; Branchiopoda; Diplostraca; Daphniidae
Rfam family: tRNA
About the family: Transfer RNA (tRNA) molecules are approximately 80 nucleotides in length. Their secondary structure includes four short double-helical elements and three loops (D, anti-codon, and T loops). Further hydrogen bonds mediate the characteristic L-shaped molecular structure. tRNAs have two regions of fundamental functional importance: the anti-codon, which is responsible for specific mRNA codon recognition, and the 3' end, to which the tRNAs corresponding amino acid is attached (by aminoacyl-tRNA synthetases). tRNAs cope with the degeneracy of the genetic code in two manners: having more than one tRNA (with a specific anti-codon) for a particular amino acid; and 'wobble' base-pairing, i.e. permitting non-standard base-pairing at the 3rd anti-codon position.
Source: Rfam by way of RNAcentral